CCUACGGGAGGCAGCAGUGAGGAAUAUUGGACAAUGGAGGCAACUCUGAUCCAGCCAUGCCGCGUGAAGGAUGACUGCCCUAUGGGUUGUAAACUUCUUUUAUAUGGGAAGAACUGCAGAUACGUGUAUUUGUUUGACGGUACCAUACGAAUAAGGACCGGCUAACUCCGUGCCAGCAGCCGCGGUAAUACGGAGGGUCCAAGCGUUAUCCGGAAUCAUUGGGUUUAAAGGGUUCGUAGGCGGGCUAAUCAGUCAGAGGUGAAAUCCAGCAGCUUAACUGUUGAACUGCCUUUGAUACUGUUAGUCUUGAGUCAUAUGGAAGUAGAUAGAAUAUGUAGUGUAGCGGUGAAAUGCAUAGAUAUUACAUAGAAUACCGAUUGCGAAGGCAGUCUACUACGUAUUGACUGACGCUGAUGAACGAAAGCGUGGGGAGCGAACGGGGUUAGAUACCCCGGUAGUCCACGCCGUAAACGAUGGACACUAGUUGUUGGGUUUCGGCUCAGUGACUAAGCGAAAGUGAUAAGUGUCCCACCUGGGGAGUACGGUCGCAAGAUUGAAACUUAAAGGAAUUGACGGA
This 577-nucleotide ribosomal RNA is filed under the name uncultured bacterium. RNAcentral describes it as "bacterial SSU rRNA". It matches the Rfam family "Bacterial small subunit ribosomal RNA", at positions 338 to 917 of the family's 1533-position model. The record is from RNAcentral.